AUACCUUUCUCGGCCUUUUGGCUAAGAUCAAGUGUAGUAUCUGUUCUUAUCAGUUUAAUAUCUGAUAUGUGGGCCAUCGGCCCACUCGAUAUUAAUCUUAUUUUUUAUGGGGAAAGACCCAUCACAAUAGCUUGCUAUUGGGGUCUUUAAGCGUCGCCUUGGUGUUGCACUACUGCCUUGGCCUGGCGCACCCCUC
This 196-nucleotide small nuclear RNA is filed under the name Helianthus annuus (common sunflower). RNAcentral's name for it is "sRNA HanXRQr2_Chr03g0119301". It matches the Rfam family "U2 spliceosomal RNA". From Rfam's summary of the family: U2 is a small nuclear RNA (snRNA) component of the spliceosome (involved in pre-mRNA splicing). The record is from Rfam by way of RNAcentral. Lineage: Eukaryota; Viridiplantae; Streptophyta; Magnoliopsida; Asterales; Asteraceae.